This 91-nucleotide transfer RNA is filed under the name Oscillospiraceae bacterium. Its description in RNAcentral is "tRNA-Ser". It matches the Rfam family "tRNA". Rfam says of the family: Transfer RNA (tRNA) molecules are approximately 80 nucleotides in length. Their secondary structure includes four short double-helical elements and three loops (D, anti-codon, and T loops). Lineage: Bacteria; Bacillati; Bacillota; Clostridia; Eubacteriales; Oscillospiraceae. The record is from RNAcentral.
GGAGAGAUGGCCGAGUUGGUCUAAGGCGCACGACUGGAAAUCGUGUAUACCCUAACCGGUAUCAUGGGUUCGAAUCCCAUUCUCUCCGCCA